Molecule: long non-coding RNA, 9556 nt
Filed under: Ananas comosus (pineapple)
Lineage: Eukaryota; Viridiplantae; Streptophyta; Magnoliopsida; Poales; Bromeliaceae
Description: long non-coding RNA (ACOM_LNC021245)
Source: RNAcentral
AUAUGUCUAAGUUCGACUCUUUAUGCCAUUAUAGGAUUCCCAUGUCACAAGACCCAAUCCUCAUGCUACCCUAGUCUAUGUGUCCAACCCAUAGUUACACUACUAAGAAGCAUGCAAGGAAUUAGAAUUUGCAACUAUCUACUAAUCCUAUAAUGCAAUAUGAUCAAGCAGAUAUAUAACUUAGACAUAAAAAGAAAUCCGGAUGCUUCGGGAUGACACCCCCCACCUUUUGUGUAUACGGAGGCUCUAGAAAUGCGCUUCGGCGUUCUUUACGACGAAGCCUCGGUCUCCUUGGUCCAAAUGAUGCUCAAUCGGCCUUAUUUUUCCGAUAGCUCUUGACCCGCUCGACGAAUCGAAAUUCCGACUUCGCCCCCGCGUUUCGUUACCUAGCAAUUAGGUUUACAAGGCCUCAAAUGAGAUCAAUCUCAUACUUUUCUAAAAACCCCAUUUUGGUGCCCUAGGGUUAGCAUCAAGCUAAACCCAUCUCAAAACCCUAGAUUAUAGCUCCAAUCCUACCAUUCAUGGUGCUAGGGAUCCAUUUGAUCCCAUCCAAAGAGCUAAAACCCAAAAACCCUAAAUUUCACAAGCUAGGUUUGGAUAGCUUACCUCUUAGCUACACCAAGUAGAAGAGGAGAGGGAGAGGAAGAUGUCGAAGGUCUUCCUCUUGAUCUCCUUCUUCUUCUCCUUCCUUUCCUUCUCUUCCUUUCCUUCUUCUCCUUCUUGUUCUUCUCUUUUCCUUCUAGAGAGAGAGAGAAAGCAAGAGUGUGAGGGAGGGAGUGAAAUGAGAGAUGAGAGGGGGAAGAGGGCAUAUGCCCCUCUAUUGUAACAAUAUCCAUCCAAGCCUCUCCACUUUUUACUCUGUGCACUGCCCCUCACUUGGCAUUCUGCGCCCAGAGGGACCGGUCUCCCCGACUUGGGACCGGUCCCCGAGAGCUUCAGCUCGGGUCACGCAUUCGGGUACCGGUCUCUCUCCGAGAGACCGAUCUUCGGGAGACCGGUCCUUGCCUGUGAGACCGGUCCCUGAGAGCAAUAUUUUCAGGACUUAGCCAAAUUUCUGGCUUUCUCGCUGGGUUCCCGUUCGGGGACCGGUCCCUCACCGCCAGGGACCGAUUGCCUCAAGCAACCCCGCAACACCAGCCGAUAGGACCGGUCCCUUCCUGCCAGGGACCGGUCCCCGAGAGCAAUUUUGCUCCAGUGCAGAUUUUGCACUCUUUGCUCUCGUGGACUCAUUUCCAAUGCACUUUUGGUGAUUUUAAUAUCUUUGGCUUUUCCAAAGCACACCAAUACGACCCUUGGUCGAUUCUGGAUGAAGUCUAACUCUCGUAUUUCGAGAAUUCACUUCCUUACAUCCUCCCCUUCUAAAAAAGAGUUUCGUUCUCGAAACGAAUUCAAUAACUCAUACCUCAUUGCAUUUCCGUGAAAAGAUGAGGAUAAUGCACUUUCAUCGAUUCCUCGAGUUCCCACGUAGCCUCACGAUCGCUGUGAUUGGUCCAACGAAUCUUCACAUAGGGAAUCUCACGGUUUCUCAAUUUCCGCACUUCUCGAGCAAUGAUCAUCGCCGGAAACUCUUCAUAACUUAGAUCUUCUUGUAGAUCCGGCGGUUCAUAAUACAUCACGUGCUCAGGGUCGUGGAUAUACUUGCGAAGGUUAGAAACGUGGAAUACAUCAUGCACCCCCGCGAGCUUCGGCGGUAAUGCAAGUCGGUACGCUACCGCUCCAACACGUUCCAACACUUCGAAUGGCCCGAUAUAUCGAGGACUAGCUUUCUCCGCACUCCGAAGCGUUUCACACCUCUCAUAGGUGAAACCUUCAAGAAAACGCGGUCACCCACUGCGAAUUCCAAGUCUCUACAGCGUUUGUCAGAAUAGCUCUUUUGCCUCGACUGUGCCGUAAGUAGCCUCUCGCGAGCGAGACAGACCUUCUCUUCCACCUCCCGCAAUAUGUCUGGGCCCAAUACCGCAUGCUCACCUACAUCGCUCCAACAUAUAGGGGAUCGGCACUUCCGUCCAUAUAGGACCUCAAACGGUGCCAUCCCAAUGCUAGCUUGGUAACUGUUAUUGUAGGCGAACUCGGCCAUCCUCAAAUGGUUUGCCCAACGACCCUUAUAGUCAAUGACACACGCUCGCAACAUAUCCUCCAGAAUAUAGUCCUCUCUGACUGUCCAUCUGUCUAAGGAUGAAACGCGGUGCUGAAAUUGAGCCGUGUGCCAAGUGCUUCCUGCAGGUUUUUCCAAAAUUGCGUAGUAAAACGGGGGUCUCGAUCUGACACGAUCGACUUCGGAACCCCGUGCAACCUCACAACUUCAUCUAAGUACACCUGCGCCAAUUUGUCACCCGACCAGGUGGUGUGAAUCGGUAGAAAGUGUGCCUACUUGGUCAUACGAUCCACAAUCACCCAGAUCGCGUCGUGGCCACCCGUCGAACGGGGCAAUCCGACCACGAAGUCCAUAGCAAUAUUCUCCCAUUUCCAAACGGGGAUAGGUAGACUUUGGAGCUUUCCCGCUGGAAAUCGGCGUUCAGCCUUCACUUGCUGGCAUACCAAGCACUGCGCCACAUAGCGCCCAAUGUCAGCUUUCAUGCCCGGCCACCAGUACUGCAUUUUUAGAUCACGGUACAUCUUGGUGCCGCCCGGGUGAAUACUAUAAGGAGUCCGAUGCGCUUCUUGUAAAAUUAAUUUCCGGACCUCCUCGUUUUCCGGUACGCACCAUCGGUUUCGAAACCGAAGCGCACCCUCGGCGUCUACACUGAAAUCACCGCCGCGUCCACUCUCGAUGUCCCGCCGCACCUUUUGGAGAUUGGGGUCUGCAGAUUGCAAACUCUUAAUCUGCUCCAACAAGGUCGGUUGGACAACGAGAGCCAUAAGCAUAGGCGGGGUUUCCGGAGCUACUACUUCGAGAUCCAUACGUUCCAUCUCUCUCCACAGUGGCUCUUGACGUGUGACCAACAUAGCCAGAUUCUCCACUGACUUCCUGCUAAGCGCGUCGGCCACCACGUUUGCUUUUCCGGGGUGGUAUAGGAUUGUAACAUCGAAAUCCUUUAGCAACUCUAACCACCGCCGUUGCCGCAUGUUGAGCUCCUUCUGCGUGAAAAGGUACUUCAGGCUUUUGUGGUCCGUAUAUAUUUCGCAUCGCGCGCCAUACAAGUAGUGCCUCCAUAACUUGAGAGCAAACACUACCGCGGCUAACUCUAGGUCGUGGACAGGGUAAUUCUUCUCAUAGCUUUUUAGCUGACGGGACGCAUAAGCGAUCACCUUCCCGCCCUGCAUCAGAACACACCCUAAGCCCGAUUGUGACGCGUCGCUAUACACCACGAAGUCUUCAUCUUGCACCGGUAAGGCGAGCACCGGAGUCGAAGUUAAUCUAUCCUUCAACUCUUGGAAACUCCGGUCACACUCACCGCUCCACACGAACUUCGUGCCUUACUCCACCCUCAGAAAUGACAUGCCCAAGAAAUGCAACCUCUCGGAGCCAAAAGUCGCAUUUCUUAAACUUAGCAUACAGCUUCUCCUCCCGAAGGACUUGAAGCACGAUUCUCAGAUGCUCGGCAUGUUCCUCGUCGCUACGAGAAUAGAUCAAGAUGUCGUCUAUGAAGACCACGACAAAUCGGUCCAAGUACUCCUUGAAGACACGGUUCAUCAGAUCCAUGAACGCUGCCGGGGCGUUAGUAAGCCCAAACGGCAUGACCGUGAAUUCAUAGUGUCCAUACCGCAUACAAAACGCGGUCUUUUGCACAUCUUCCGGCUUAAUCUUGAAUUGAUGAUAACCGGACUGCAGAUCAAUCUUUGAAUAAACCCGAGAUCCUUGCAACUGAUCAAAUAAAUCAUCGAUCCUGGGCAACGGGUACUUAUUUUUUAUCGUAACCUUGUUCAACUCGCGAUAGUCUACGCAGAGUCCAAACGAUCCGUCCUUCUUUCGCACAAACAGAACCGGGGCUCCCCACGGCGAUACACUUGGCCGUACAAAUCCCUUAUCGAGGAGAUCUAUCAAUUGAGCCCGCAGCUCCUUCAGUUCUGCCGGCGCCAUCCAAUACGGAGCCUUCAAGAUAGGUGCGGUUCCUGGAACCAAAUCUAUCACGAACUCGAUCUUCCGGUCUGGCGGCAUUCCCGGUAACUCCGCGGGAAAAACGUCCGGGAACGCUCGGACCACGGCUAGUUCCUCGAGUGUCGGAGUCUUCCUGUGGACUUCUACAACGGUCGCCAAAUAGGCCAUACAACCGCUAUUAAUCAACUUCCUCGCCCUCGUCGCCGACACCAUCGCGGCGAAGCGUGAGCUUCUACAGGCCCGGUAGGUGAAUUCCUCUUGGCCCGGCUCUCGAAACGUUAUUACUUUACUUCUGCAGUGAAUAGUCGCAUAGUACUUCAAGAGCCAAUCCAUUCCUAAAAUGACGUCGAAGUCUUUCAACUUCUUGAACACCAAUAUACGAAUGGGCAUUAUCCAAUCGCCCAACCGCACCGGACAAGACGAACGCUCCUUACGGACUAGAAAAUCACGUCUGGGGCCCGAUACUCUCCAAGUGCUUUUACUCUCUUGUAGCUCUAUGUCAUGCAUGCGUGCAAAUGACCUACUGAUGAAUGAAUGCGUAGCACCUGUAUCAAACAUAGCCCUGGAGCGAACUCCGUUAAUUAAAACCAUACCUACGAGUACAUGGCGAUCCCCCGCCUCAGCAGGUUCCUCGGCUUGGGUUUGGGCGGCAAACACCCACCCACUCGGAGCCGAUCUCGUCGCCUCAGAUUGGCGUGGUACCAUCGCACAUCCAGCCGACGACGCAGUAGGUGGGACACCUCCAUAAUGCGCCGGAGUCGCCAGAGCCGAUGCGACCGAAGGGGCAGGCGAAGUCCUCAUUAGACAGUAGCGGUUGAUAUGGCCUGCCUGUCCACACGUGAAGCACUUCCCUUCCCGUUGAUCACACAUCCUUGACUCGUGGUUCCCACCACAGAUUGUGCACCGCUGCGGUCCGCGGCCCUUGGAUUGCGUUCACGGGUACUUCGGGGGCCUUUUUGACUUGGCUUGAGCUCCCGAACUACUUUGGGCCCGCUUCUUGCCACCGUCCUUCUCGGACGCUUCUCGCUCCUCCCGGAUGUGAGCGUUUCCUUGCUCCGCCCACAACGCUCUGUCGAGCACCUCCGCGAAGGUAGUGAGCUUCAGAAUGUGCACCGCCCGGUAGAUAUCAGCCCGGAGCCCUCGCUCGAACCAAUCGGCUCGAUCCCUGUCAUACCGCACUACGUCGGGGACGCAAUCAAUGAUGUGAGAGAACUCCCGCUCAUAUUCCGCUACCGUGCGGCUACCUUGCUUCAACUUUCGAAAUUGCUCCUGGAGUUUCUUCUUCUCGCUGUCGAGGAAGUAGUUAACAUAGAACAAUCCCCGAAACUCCUCCCACGUCAACGGCGGAAGGUCGGAAGCUCGGUUUCUCUUGAUUCGCUUCCACCAAACCUUCGCCGUUCACUCCAAACAAUGAAUGACGAGGUAGACCUUGUCCCUCUCCAAGGUGUAGAGGUCCUCGAACAAGGUCUCCAUUGAGUCCACCCACGACUCAACCAUCCAUGGCUCGACCUUCUCUCCCUCGAAAGUCGGUGGAUUAAACCUUCGGAACUUCUCGAGAGCCGCAAGUGCGCACUCCCUCUCCGCCUCCAAUGCCGUCGCAUCGGGUGUCGUAGAACCCGAUGCCGCCGGAGGAACGCUCGCCGGCGGAGGACGUGCCGCCACCGGAACUGCCGCAAUGCCCUCACCCUCAGCCACCGUAGGCGCACGAGCUGGAGGCGGGGGCGGAUCACGGCCCUCAGUCACAACUGCAGUUGCCGCCGCAAAAUGCCACUCCAUAAGCCCUUAGAGCUGCUCGAACCGACUCUCCUGGCGCUGCACAAUGCCGGUCAAUGCCGACACCUGCGCACGUAACUCCUGUACUUAGAUCCGGCUUCCUCGAGCACCUCAGGAGACGGUGCGGAACGGACCUACGUACGUAGCGUCUUGGGGACAUUAUCUCCUGCAACGCAACAACCGGGUUAGUCAUCUAACCCACUUAACUCCGUCGCAUACACUAUAUUACGCGACUCAACUCCGCCAUAAGCGGACGUACACCAUUGUAUUAGUCCUAACUCUUAGCGUCGUGUUGUCGGCCGCCAACACAAACUCCUCGAGCUUAGAACUAACACCGCUCGGAUCCAUCUCUAGCCACACUAGAGAUCUAUACUCGAUCCGACCUAAUCGGAUUCUUCUUCAACCGAUAUAGGUUUACGUUUCUCUCACGUACCUACACAACACUAGGGUUCACCGUCCUAAGGUCUCUUAGGUCCAUCCUAGACUCUCUCUUUACUUGUUCUUAAUUGCUCUGAUACCAACAACACUGUCACGCCCUGCCCAGAAUCCACUACCAAUUUGGCACGGUUCGGGCGCACCGGACGGACCGCCGAACGGACAGCGCAUCUCCUGUCCGCCCAAGGCCAAGCAACCAGAUCAUGUACAGAUAAGCGCCCAGGGAAUGCUUAAAUAACAUACAUGAUCGAUACGAUGCACACAAGUGCACUAUAACUAAGAGCAAGAACCACAAGUGAAUAUACAAGUGUACAAAGAGAGAGAGUCUAACUAUUACAAUCAUUCAACAUUUACAUCAUUUGAAUAUAUUAUAUUUUCAUCUUCCAAAAUGUGAAUACAUGUUUUCCUCAAAAUACAAGUAGCUCUCCAAUAACUAUCCAAAACAUCAUCUAGUACACGUGUACUCUAAUGCAUAAAAGAAAAGCUACUAACUAGGCUCACUUAGGGCGCUAUGCCCUUGCCGCGGUCCUCGCUCGGCUCGCCUCUGUGUGUACCUGUACCCCAAAACCACACGGGGUGAGAACUAUAUAAAUAUAGUUCCCAGUGGGUUCGGCCGCCGACGCCGCCGGUUUUCCCACUAGGUCUAAGCUGGCACAGAUAGAGAGAUAGAUAGAUAUAUAGAAAAUGAACUGCAACUACUCUAUCAUGCCAUCAAUGAUAAUAAUGCAUGCAACAACUACUAUCAUGCUAGUAUCAUGUCAUGAGUAUAUAAAAGUGCAUAGCAAUGUAAUCUACAACAUACACUAUGUCUACUCAAGGUAAUAAUGCAAGUCUACUAUGCAUUUCAUGUUUAUUACCCAAUCUACUUGGUUAACCCGUAGGUUAAACCCUCGACUCACUCUCAAUCUCAUAGGUGAGGAGAAACUGCACUCGCACACCGAGACCGUCUGCGGGACAACUACGUCUGCCCCUAGUGAAGUACUCCGGAGACUCGUGCCUCGGUGGAGCGACCACCGACAAGCAAAAACAGACUAGUGAGUAUGAUCCAAUCCUCACAAGAGGAUACCCUGUCUACUAGGGUCAAUGUGCCUCUGCUGCACAGUCAUGAUAUAUAAUCAAUGUUGGGACUUCUACUAUCCCUAGGUUCAUGUCAAGUUUACUACACUAGACUCAAUGCCACUCGUUCGAUCAUUGUAGUAAGUUUUCUACUAAUUGACAUGCCACUCGUUCAAGUUUAGUGUCUCUACUACACUAGUUCAAUGCCACUCUACUAGGCUAUGUCCAAGUUCGGCUCUUUAUGCCGCUAUAGGAUUCUAUGCCAUAAGACCCAAUCCUCAUGCUACCCUAGUCUAGGUGUUCAACUCAUAAGUACACUACUAAGAAGCAUGCAAGGAAAAAGAAAAUAUACAUUUAUUAAUCCUAUAAUGCAAUAUGAUCAACACAUAUGUAACUUAGACAUAAAAAGAAACCCGGAUGUUCCGGAACGACACCCCCCACCUUUUGCGUAUAAGGAGGCUCUAGAAGUGCGCUUCGGCGUCCUUUACGACGAAGCCUCGGUCUUCUUGGUCCAAAUGAUGCUCAAUCGGCCUUAUUUUGCCGAUAGCUCUUGACCCGCUCGACGAAUCGAAAUUCCGACUUCGCCCCCGCGUUUCGUUACCUAGCAAUUAGGUUUACAAGGCCUCAAAUGAGAUCAAUCUCAUACUUUUCCAAAAACCCUAUUUUGGUGCCCUAGGGUUAGCAUCAAGCUAAACCCAUCUCAAAACCCUAGAUUCUAGCUCCAAUCCUACCAUUCAUGGUGCUAGGAAUCCAUUUGAUCCCAUCCAAAGAGCUAAAACCCAAAAAUCCUAAAUUUCACAAGCUAGGGUUGGAUAGCUUACCUCUUAGCUACACCAAGGAGAAGAGGUGAGGGAGAGGAAGAUGUCCAAGGUCUCCUCUUGAUCUCCUUCUUCUCCUUCCUUUCCUUCUCUUCCUUUCCUUCUUCUACUUCUUGUUCUUCUUCUCUUUUCCUUCUAGAGAGAUAGAGAAAGCAAGAGAGUGUGAGGGAGGGAGUGAAAUGAGAGAUGAGAGAGGGAAGGGGCCCAUAUGCCCCUCUAUUGUAACAAUAUCCAUCCAAGCCCCUCCACUUUUCACUCUUUGCACUGCCCCUCACUGGGCAUUCUGCGCCCAGAGGGGCCGGUCUCCCCGACUUGGGACCGGUCCCCGAGAGCUUCAGCUCGGGUCAAGCGUUCGGGUACCGGUCUCUCGGAGUCUCUCUUCGAGAGACCGGUCCUCGGGAGACCGGUCCUUGCCUGUGAGACCGGUCCCCGAGAGCAAUAUUUUCAGGACUUAGCCAAAUAUCUGGCUUUCUCGCUGGGUUCGCGUUCGGGGACCGAUCCCUCCCCGCCAGGGACCGGUUGCCUCAAGCAACCCCGCAACACCAACCGAUGGGACCGGUCCCUCCCUGCCAGGGACCGGUCCCCGAGAGCAAUUUUGCUCCAGUGCAGAUUUUGCACUCUUUGCUCUCGUGGACUCAUUUCCAAUGCACUUUUGGUGAUUUUAAUAUCUUUGGCUUUUUCAAAGCACACCAAUACGACCCUUGGUCGAUUCUCGAUGAAGUCUAACUCUCGUAUUUCGAGAAUUCACUUCCUUACAAUUAUAAUGGCAGGUAGUGCCUGAGGUCGACUAAUCAAUAUGGCAGGUUGUGGAUUGAGUACAGGUUUUGGACUAUUCAUUCAUUGAGGCAUAUAGUGCUAGGUUUCUUUUACAGUAGCAGCAAGUUGAUUAUUUAUUGUUCAUAUUUAUAUCUCUUACUACUAUAGAUUUACAUUUCAGUACAUUAUAUCCAUCUCUAUAUCUCUCUUUUUUUUUCUUUUCCUAUGAAUACGACUUGCCUUCGUGGCUCUGUCGUACCCACUGAAAAAUCUUAGGUUGGUUUCUUACCCCAUGGUAUUCCACAGGUGGCACGAAUGAAGAGGCAAAUCAGGGCAAGGUGUGAGAUUCUCGGUCUAGUUAGCUUGCAUUAGUGGUCCCCAAUUUGUUACAAUUUUAUUCCUUAUUUUAUUUCAUUUAUUGUUUUUAGAUAUUGAUGGUGGUUCAGUUAGACUUGUUUAUUGUGAAUGGAUGACAACUUGUGGAUAUCUAGUUAGUGUUUGGUUAUUAUGGUACUUGAAUAUUAUGUGGAUUUAGGCACCGGUGAUUGUUGGUUUUAUGAUUUAUGGUUUCAGUUUUCUGGAUUUUAUAGCAAACUAUUUUCUAUACCUCGUGGUAGCCGAUUUUCAAAACAUGAUGUUUCCGCGUGGGAAACGAUUUUCAAACAGUUUUCAAAUUGGA